Molecule: non-coding RNA, 73 nt
Organism: Megalops atlanticus (tarpon)
Lineage: Eukaryota; Metazoa; Chordata; Actinopteri; Elopiformes; Megalopidae
Source: the annotation of a GenBank genome assembly
ACCAGUGUGGCAUAAUGGUAAGGAGCACGGCUCGUAACCGAAAGGCUGCUGGUUCGAUACCCUGCUGCUGUAC